UAUCUGAAGAAGCUGAUGGGGUGGAAUGGCAGAAUCACAGCCUGUGGGGGACUGUUUGGCAAGGGAAUUGUACAGGCUGUCUUCCAGCAGCUCAAGCAUGAGAAGCAUUGUUCCAAGACAGCAGAUGGAUGAACCACUAUAAAGGUAGUGGAAUCUCAGGUUGUGGAAUCAGGAAGAGAAUGUAACUUUUGCCCACUGUGACAGAAGCAUAUUUGAAGCAGAAAAAUGAGUCUCAGUAUCUCACAGUUUACUCACAAUGGAACACAAAUUCCAGAAAAUAAG
This 282-nucleotide long non-coding RNA is filed under the name Manacus vitellinus (golden-collared manakin). RNAcentral's name for it is "lncRNA (ENSMVIG00005015342.1)". The record is from RNAcentral. Lineage: Eukaryota; Metazoa; Chordata; Aves; Passeriformes; Pipridae.